GUGAAAUUGUUGAAAGGGAAUCGAAAGGAGGCAGUGUUGGUCUGCUCCCAUAUACGGGCUCUGCGUGCAGGGUUUGUGAUGGGGGUGGACAAGUCAGGCUUGCUUGUGUGUGCGGGAGAGGGUCAUCGGGCUUUAUGCUGGUGUUUCCUGCCGUGUGUGCGAGCGACCUCUGACGAAAUGCCUCUUUUCAUCCCGUCUUGAAACACGGACCAAGGAGUCUAACAUGUGUGCGAGUACUCGGAGUGAGACCUCCCAGUGCGCAAUUAACGUAAAGAUAGCGGCAACGCUAUUGAGGUAGGAAGGCCUGAGCCUGCACUAUCGACCGACCUUGAUCCUCCGGGUGAAGGGUUUGAGUGUGAGCAUACCUGUUGGGACCCGAAAGAUGGUGAACUAUGCCUGAGUAGGACGAAGCCAGGGGAGACUCUGGUGGAGGUCCGUAGCGGUUCUAACGUGCAAAUUGAUCGUCGAACUUGGGUAUAGGGGCGAAAGACUAAUCGAACCAUCUAGUAGCUGGUUCCUCCCGAAAUUUCCCUCAGGAUAGCUGCAACCGAACAGUUUUAUCAGGUAAAGCGAAUGAUUAGUGGACUCAGGGGUGCAAUGCCCUUGACCAAUUCUCAAACUUUAAAUGGGUAAGAGCCCUGGGUUGCUUAACUGAACCCGGCGGUGGAAUGUCGGUUGCUAGUGGGCCAAUCUGGGUAAGCUAGAUUGGCGAUGCGGGAUGCUCCGAACGUCAAGUUAAAGUGCCAAAGU
This 750-nucleotide ribosomal RNA is filed under the name uncultured stramenopile. RNAcentral's name for it is "LSU rRNA". It matches the Rfam family "Eukaryotic large subunit ribosomal RNA", at positions 399 to 1194 of the family's 3401-position model. The record is from RNAcentral.